GGUACUUGUACCGACUGGAUGAGCAGCGAACGGGUGAGUAACGCGUGGGGAAUCUGCCUUUGAGCGGGGGACAACAUUUGGAAACGAAUGCUAAUACCGCAUAAAAACUUUAAACACAAGUUUUAAGUUUGAAAGAUGCAAUUGCAUCACUCAAAGAUGAUCCCGCGUUGUAUUAGCUAGUUGGUGAGGUAAAGGCUCACCAAGGCGAUGAUACAUAGCCGACCUGAGAGGGUGAUCGGCCACAUUGGGACUGAGACACGGCCCAAACUCCUACGGGAGGCAGCAGUAGGGAAUCUUCGGCAAUGGACGAAAGUCUGACCGAGCAACGCCGCGUGAGUGAAGAAGGUUUUCGGAUCGUAAAACUCUGUUGGUAGAGAAGAACGUUGGUGAGAGUGGAAAGCUCAUCAAGUGACGGUAACUACCCAGAAAGGGACGGCUAACUACGUGCCAGCAGCCGCGGUAAUACGUAGGUCCCGAGCGUUGUCCGGAUUUAUUGGGCGUAAAGCGAGCGCAGGUGGUUUAUUAAGUCUGGUGUAAAAGGCAGUGGCUCAACCAUUGUAUGCAUUGGAAACUGGUAGACUUGAGUGCAGGAGAGGAGAGUGGAAUUCCAUGGGUUAAC
This 619-nucleotide ribosomal RNA is filed under the name Lactococcus lactis. Its description in RNAcentral is "bacterial SSU rRNA". It matches the Rfam family "Bacterial small subunit ribosomal RNA", at positions 75 to 680 of the family's 1533-position model. Lineage: Bacteria; Bacillati; Bacillota; Bacilli; Lactobacillales; Streptococcaceae. The record is from RNAcentral.